Molecule: ribosomal RNA, 292 nt
Filed under: uncultured bacterium
Lineage: Bacteria
Description: partial 16S ribosomal RNA
Rfam family: Bacterial small subunit ribosomal RNA
Source: RNAcentral
GUUACAGCCGCCGCGGUAAAACGUAGGAGACAAACGUUAUCCGGAGUUACUGGGCGUAAAGGGCGUGUAGGUGGUUUCGUAAGUCUGGCGUGAAAUUUUUCGGCUUAACCGGGAAAGGUCGUCGGAUACUGCGAGGCUAGAGGACGGUAGAGGCGUGUGGAAUUCCGGGUGUAGUGGUGAAAUGCGUAGAGAUCCGGAGGAACACCAGUGGCGAAGGCGACACGCUGGGCCGUACCUGACACUGAUGCGCGACAGCAUGGGGAGCAAACAGGAUUAGAUACCCCUGUAGUCC